Molecule: ribosomal RNA, 589 nt
Filed under: uncultured bacterium
Lineage: Bacteria
Description: bacterial SSU rRNA
Rfam family: Bacterial small subunit ribosomal RNA
Source: RNAcentral
CAGCAGUAGGGAAUCUUCGGCAAUGGGGGGAACCCUGACCGAGCAACGCCGCGUGAGUGAAGAAGGUUUUCGGAUCGUAAAGCUCUGUUGUUAAGGAAGAACGAGUGUGAGAAUGGAAAGUUCAUACUGUGACGGUACUUAACCAGAAAGGGACGGCUAACUACGUGCCAGCAGCCGCGGUAAUACGUAGGUCCCGAGCGUUGUCCGGAUUUAUUGGGCGUAAAGCGAGCGCAGGCGGUUAGAUAAGUCUGAAGUUAAAGGCAGUGGCUCAACCAUUGUAGGCUUUGGAAACUGUUUAACUUGAGUGCAGAAGGGGAGAGUGGAAUUCCAUGUGUAGCGGUGAAAUGCGUAGAUAUAUGGAGGAACACCGGUGGCGAAAGCGGCUCUCUGGUCUGUAACUGACGCUGAGGCUCGAAAGCGUGGGGAGCGAACAGGAUUAGAUACCCUGGUAGUCCACGCCGUAAACGAUGAGUGCUAGGUGUUAGGUCCUUUCCGGGACUUAGUGCCGCAGCUAACGCAUUAAGCACUCCGCCUGGGGAGUACGACCGCAAGGUUGAAACUCAAAGGAAUUGACGGGGGCCCGCACAAG